GUAGAGACCGAUAGCAACCACGUGAUCAGUAAAAAUCGUGUAUUUUCACGUGAAAUUAUUUUUCGGAAUUCCGUACAUCGCCAUAGAGUAGUUGAAAAACAAAAAGGGGUUCCGAAAGUACAAGUUGCUGUGACUGAAUCGAUGAUUGAGAGGGUCGUCUCGACGAAAGAUAUAGAAAUUUGGCCAUAGUUUAGAUUAGGAAUACGUCAAUGUAAUAAUAGUGGACUAAAUGUUUCGUCCGUGCAGAAUGGCACUUUUUACCUCACGAAAUUCACCACCAUGCAUAGCUGCGCUACGUAAACAAAGUUGUUGAUGUAGCGUGAUCGUGGUGUCCGAGUGCUGCGAGUUUCAAUACUGUUUAUGUAGUCAUUGAGAGUUUAAACAAAGUUUCUUCUGAGAAGAGGAAUUCGAUGGAUGCAUUCAACGUGGACAACGAAAUCAUAAUUUCGUUUGCAUCAUCCUAAGGACCAGUGCAAGUUGAAAUGGGCUUCCAGUCAACAACUUCAACAGCAAUUUGCCAUGAAAAUCAGCAAGAAAGGUACUUCAUUUACAUUGAUGAUGUCAUAUCCCCUGGACCCCACAACUUCACAGGUUACAGAGAAAAUU
Molecule: long non-coding RNA, 606 nt
Organism: Ostrea edulis (European flat oyster)
Lineage: Eukaryota; Metazoa; Mollusca; Bivalvia; Ostreida; Ostreidae
Exons: 3
Source: RefSeq, a predicted model, not a curated record